CUCCGCGAAGCAGCCGGCGGCGGCCGGAGAGAGCGGGGGGGUGCUGCGGGUGCAAAUUGAUCUGGGUUACAGAGGGGCUGCACGUUAAGAUUAUCAUCAAGGGCGGAAAUGAGAUUGAUGUUUGCUUUAACUUCUUCAAUAAAGGCUAGAAGAUGACCAAGUAAACGCUGGAACAACGAAAAGCUAAAUGGUUUAUAUGAUUUGGUUAUGUUCAAUAUAUUGACUUUGUACCUUCUAGUGUGCUAGAGCGACACGAUCAGAAUGAAAAUAGUUGAAUAUUUGGUAGAACCAAGGGUUCGCAAAUAUGUAUUUUGUUUGUUUGGUCUUUGAUUGGGGGUCCGUACAACUAUAUGAGCAUUCGUUUUCUGUGUGGGAUCUUGGUUAGGGUCCUACAGAAUUGUAAUAGCUAUUCCGGGCCGUUCCGUUAGUUGCAAAAAUAAAUUGCAGUCAAUAUUACAUCA
Molecule: long non-coding RNA, 461 nt
Organism: Asparagus officinalis (garden asparagus)
Lineage: Eukaryota; Viridiplantae; Streptophyta; Magnoliopsida; Asparagales; Asparagaceae
Exons: 2
Source: RefSeq, a predicted model, not a curated record